AGGGCUGUGGCUCAGUGGCAGAGCACUCGCCUAGCAUGUGCGAGGCGCUGGGUUCGAUCCUCAGCCCCA
Molecule: transfer RNA, 69 nt
Filed under: Ictidomys tridecemlineatus (thirteen-lined ground squirrel)
Lineage: Eukaryota; Metazoa; Chordata; Mammalia; Rodentia; Sciuridae
Description: Spermophilus tridecemlineatus (thirteen-lined ground squirrel) tRNA
Rfam family: tRNA
About the family: Transfer RNA (tRNA) molecules are approximately 80 nucleotides in length. Their secondary structure includes four short double-helical elements and three loops (D, anti-codon, and T loops).
Source: Rfam by way of RNAcentral